UAAGAAAAAAUUCUGCAUUAAUUAACUGAAAUGUUCUUUGCGAAAUGAUUAAUCAGUUAAAAGCAGAAUUAAUUUCCUCCCGUCAUGAAUAAUAAUAAAUAAUAAAUUAAAUUCAUGGCUCCAUCCCUGUUCUCUCUCUUUUUCUCUCUGUAAUUAGUUUCUCAUCAUCUGCAACUUCCUGAUCGGCGUGCUCGCCGUCAAAUUCACCUGCGUGUCCGUCGAUCCUUUAAGCAAAUCAACCUCCAAAGCGGCAAACGCCUUCUGGAUCUUCUCUGUAAUCACCAUUACUCUUCCGAUCACCGUCACUAAAUACUUAAAGUUAUGCACCUUUGCCCCUUCAAACCCGGUCGCCUUCGCGAAUGCGGCGUCGUAUUGCUUUUCCAGAGCUUCCAGCCCUUCGUUAGACUUGAUCUUCUGCAUCUUGUCGAUCGCCGUUGUCAACGCCUUGUCAUACUCCUUCGCUUCCACCGAAGCGCUGCGAUCGAACUCGCGGAUAAUGUCCAUCAGUCUCAGCCAGAACUCUGGUAUUUGAAGCCCCGUGCUUAGCUCGUUCACCAGCUUGUCGAUUCUCACCACGAACUCUGUGUAGUAGACGAUGCCAGAGGCUUCCUUUUGAGAUAAUGGUCCGAGAACGACGGUGGCUCCGACAUCGACGGCUGCUUCCGCCGCCAACAGGUAAGUUGCAGAGAUGGCGAGGAGCAAGAGGGAUAUCCUCGCCAUGAUAUUUUCAAAAAUUAUAUUUCUAAAUAAAUUUUUUUAAAAAAGACAGAGAGGAGUGAGUUUACUUACGAGUUCUUGCGAUAUAUAUAGAUACAUAUACACCUCUAUACAAUGUCAAUAAUAGAUUUGGUUAGGGAGAUUUUAGCGGUUUUCCAUUGAAUUUAAUGAAAUUGGAAAAUAUUAACGAGUUUUCGCUUUACAUUGAAGUUACAAGCCAUUUUAAUACCUCCAAGUACUCACCUCAUAUUAUGAACAAAGUCUUAAUCCAACCCCCACAGUUCAUUCCUUUCCAAAUUAAGAUUACAUUUCUAAGAAUUUCGGUGUUUUUUAUUAUUAUUGAUUACAAUUUAUUAGUAUAAAUACAAUUUAGUUAUUGAAAAUGUAUUAAUAUUCACUUAUUUAUUUGAGAAAUAGAAUCCGUUAUCCUAUCAUAGGACCAUAAUCUGUUAUUAAGUAUCACUUAAUAUGGUAUACAAGUGCAAUAUAAUUAUUAAACAUGAUUUAUUUGAUCAUAAUAUAAAAUUAAUUAGAUUGGUUUAUCAACAUAUAUACCAUAUCAAGUGAUAUUCAACUGGAGCAUCUCUGAAAAAUUCGUAUCAUAAUUUAUCAACUCCUACGCAGAGUAGUUGGCUGAGAAGCUCGGAGUCUGCAUGGAUUGAUCCAGCUUCUAUACACAGUAGCAAACACAGAAGUUCGAUAUCUGGGGUCGAUGAGAAACCAAAGCCAUCAAAAAGAAAACACGUCAGUGAACACUCUGAAUUCAUGAGCCGGUCAGCAUUAGAAUCAGGGUGAGGUCACAGUUCUGCUAGCUUCUCAGGUGGAUUCUCGGGAUGAGCCCAUGGUUCAACUGUUACGUUUUCAGGCUCCUCAUAGCCAGACCACAAAGGGAAGUUGAAAAAGGAGAGGAAACCGAGGUUGUAGAAAAGAGACUGAGAAAACAGUUCCGGCUCUUUAUGAUUCACGAAGGUUAAAUCACAUCCUUUCUCCUCUUUCCAGCUUGUGUUUGAACUUGAGAAGAAAUAGAGUUAAUGAUUUUUACAUUUGAUACUUAUGGCUAAAUGACUUUAUCAUCUAUAUUUUGUUAUUUCAUUCCGAUUUUCUGUUUCUUGUCGUUUCUUUUCAGUAGCAUAUUGGUUCUUGUGAAAUGUUAUAUCAGGAUAUGUUUUGAUGCUGUCUGGGAAUGCUUGGGAUGCUUUUCCUUUAGGUCUCAGAUAAUUUAGUGGUGGAAUUGGGUUCGUGUUCCGAUGGUUAAUUUUAUAUGGGUUUUUUAACUUGUGGAUCAAUGUAUUUCAACUUUGAAAAAAAUGAUUACUUGAACCUGUUUGUGAAAAUUCCAUAAAAGGAAAUGGAUGUUUUCAGUUUUUGUGUUGCCUCUGCUUUCAGUUUUUCCUUUGAAGUCUACUCAUUUUACGGCUUAUACUUGGCUGUAUCUAUUGUUCUCUGAGUUGAUCAUGGUGUUUAAAUCAAAGGGAGUGGAGAGUCAUAAAUUAUGCUCAUAUUUUCGCAAUUUACUUCUUCGAUUUAGGUUGAGUAAAGAGAGCAUAUUUCAAGCUUAUACAUGGUAGUAAUGGUUGUUUGUCAUGGCUUAAUGUACUUUAUCUUAGAUGAUAGGUGAUAGCAACUGUUGCAAAUUACACUUUUAAUAAAAUGUCUUAGGUCAAUGUAAUUUUCCUUCUGUAUUUUAAUUAUUACGGGGUCAAUGCUAACCAUUAAUUUGCUGUAACUUCCAUUUUUCCGUUUUCUUUUUUCUUUUUUAUUAUUUUAACUCCCCCGCCCUGUAGUUUAAUAUAUUGAUUGGUAUAUUGAAUUAUGUAAAAAUCAAAAUAUCACACACUUCAUAUAGAUUAGGAUACGAAUGAUGCAUGCAAUUUAGAGCUCUAACUAACUAGUCUGCAUUAGCGAUUGGACGCCUCACACGUUUUUGUCUUGCAUUAUUUUAGACAUCAAAUUCUUGAUUUAGACGAAACAUUGUUCUUUAUAACCCGAUUCCAUUUUUAACAAGAUCAGUAGUGACUUUCUAAAAUUUAAUUACUUUGAUAUUUUUUGUUUUCGUUUUGGCAAGUCUAUAUAUAGCCAAACUGACUUCACUUUUCGUAUGCUUAUGAUGUUAAAGUACGCGCUUUCUUCGUUACGUCUCCUUUAUCUGAUGUUAUAAGCAGAAUAUUUUGUUUUUAGGUUGCUUGUUCUUUGUUCUCCUCUAUUCUAGGAAAAAAAGAGCAUUUUUCCCAAAAACAAUGAGGAAGAGAAUUGAUAUGCAAGGUCUACUGCAAAAGGAAUAUGAGACGAUUACAGUGGUAGUCGUUAUUGUCCCUUGGAGGUUCACCCACUUGUUUUCAAGUAUUCCAGUGUUUUCAAUUAUGUCAUUUCAAUUUGAAAACUCAUUUCAAGAUUCUACGUGCACUAUAGAAGAGUCAAUCAUAGACAUUUUUUAGUAUAAGAUGUAAUUAGUUGACACAAUUAGAGUAUGGUGAGUUAUUGUAAGUAUUAUGUCAGGUGUAAGGUUAUUGUAAAUUGGUGUAAUUAAAAUUUUAUGGUAUAAAAUAUGUAAUUUAAUUAAUGCUACUCUUCUAAUAUUUCUACACAUUGCAAGUAAUGAAAUAUAUUCUUUUUUUUUUAUUUAUAGGAAAGUAUGAUCUCUCUUUCUUUUCCCAUAAUAGCGGAAACAAAUAAUUAUAAUUCCGCUAGAGAAAGAGAAAAAUCCUGACAAAGCUAGAGAGUAGCCUCUUAUGGGAACCUCUUCUAUCCUGAUAAUAACUAUCAAGGCCUGAUUAAAUAGCAUAUUUGGCUACAAAAUCAGCUAACCGAUUACAUUAUUUAUAAGAAAACUAGAAAAGAAAAAGAAGUGAUCUUUAAGCAACUCAAUCGCCAUCCGGCGUGGUAUGUGAUCAUCUGGUACUUAAAACUUGAUUUCAUUGCUCCCAUACAUGUUCAUCUUCAUCUUCCUUGACAUAGAUGCUGCCAGCUUUUCUUUGUACAUUGCAGCGAUGGCCGUUUGCACGUUACUACCUGAACUCAUAAUCUUUUGAAGGGCUUGUAUUACUUGCGAAAAUUGACACUCUUUUGCCUUAUUUUGGUCUCCCACCUUCACAAUUGCGGCAUCAUAUCUAUUUCCCAUAGCUUGUAAAGAUGAUGUGUUCUUUGUCUUCAUGGCGAUCUCAGCAGCUUUGGUCAAUUCGUUAAAGAAUACAUCUCCUUCUUGUGGUGUUUUGUUAUCGUAUUCUUUUUGCAAGGCCAUGCAUUUCUGGUAAAAUAUGGGAAAUGAAGUUGAGCCCUUGUUGAACUCAUCUAUUAAAUACCCCAACUUCACGAAGAACUCUCCAGUGAAGAGCAUGCCCUUAGCUUCUGCGGCGCCCACGUCAACAUUUGGCAUUCCCUGAUGACCAAAUUGGUAGUUGUAAUUAAAUCCAUCCGAGUUACCAGUGGAGAUAUAUCCAUGGGCAUUCAUGUUUGAUUCUCCAUUUGCAUUUGCAUUGCCUUGUCCAUUAGCAUUUGUGUCAGCUUGUGUAUUAGUAGCAAUGUAUCCAUUACUAUUCGCGUUUGCUUGUCCAUUGGCACCUGUGUUUACUUGUUUAUAUGUGGAAAUGUAUCCACCUGCAUUCAUGUUUACUUGUCCCUUGCCUUUCGUGUUUGCUUGUCCAUUGGCAUCUGUAUUUACUUGUUCAUCGGUAUUGGUGUGGACGUUUGAUUGUUUAUCUACGGCAACAGAACCAGAUGCAUCCUUCUUUGUAUCUUGUUCUUUAGUACCAGAUUCAUUGGUGUUCUUGCUCGAUUGUUGAUUUUUUGUGGCGGAUUCAUUGGUGUUCUUGCUCGAUUGUUGAUUUUUUGUGGCAGAUUCAUUGUUAUUCUGUUCGGUUUGUUGAUCCUUUAUCACAGACUCAUUGCUGCUUUUGCUCGUCUGUUGAUUAUUCGUGGCAGAUUCGUUGGAACUCUUACUUGCUUGUUGAUCUUUUGUGACAGAUACAUUCACGUUCUUGCUUGAUUGUUGAUCUUUCGAGACAGAGCCUUUACUGUUCUGGCUAGCGUGCUGAUUUUUCGUCACAGAUUCAUUGCUACUCUGACUUGUCUGUUGAUUUUUCGUGGCGGAUUCGUUACCGCUCUUCUUCCUUUGUUGAUCUGUUGUGGCAGAUCCAUCAGUCUUCGUGUUUGAUUGUUGAUUUGUUGUGAACGAUCCUCCUAUCGAUCCAGACACACUCGUCUUUGCAUCAUGCCCUCCCGCACCAGACUCGCUACAAGUGCAAACGCACUUCUUUCCGUUAUAAUCUAUAUUGAUAUGUGCAUCUGCGAGGAACCCGAAAGAGAUAAAAAGAAUAAAAUACAGUAAUAAAGAGUUCCUCGCCAUUAUUAUUGUUAUUAUUUUAUUUUGUGUAUAACUAUGAAUCGGAAAGGAAAGAGAUGAGUGGAUUCUUGGAGAUGAGUUCUUGGGAUUAUAUACUUCAUUAGCAAUGUCUAAUAAUAGACUAUUACGAAAGGAGUUCGUGUUGAGUAAGUUAAUUGGAGUGAAGUUUUUACGGGUUUUCGUUCAAUAAAAAUAGCUAGUUAAAUUAAGAAG
Molecule: long non-coding RNA, 5269 nt
Filed under: Carica papaya (papaya)
Lineage: Eukaryota; Viridiplantae; Streptophyta; Magnoliopsida; Brassicales; Caricaceae
Description: long non-coding RNA (CPAP_LNC005152)
Source: RNAcentral